Long non-coding RNA from Podarcis muralis (Common wall lizard), 1005 nucleotides. RefSeq lists it as uncharacterized. Lineage: Eukaryota; Metazoa; Chordata; Lepidosauria; Squamata; Lacertidae. The record is from RefSeq and is a predicted model, not a curated record.
CAGUUGAGCACGUCUCCCCGUAACCAUUAUGACAGCAGAAGGGUGAUUCUGCAUGUAUCAAAUACAUCAUUAUACACUAAGGUCUCUAUUCCCCACCCCGCUUGUCACCUGAUGUGGUCCCUGUGGAUACGCUAGAGCUCCCAUUUGAACUCCAGAGUCCCAUUGAGACUCUGGCAACAGUGUUUAUGUGCUAUUCUAAUGCUGGUUUGAGCAGCCUAAGUGCUUUUUAAUGCAUAGCACUACAGCGAGUGUGCCUUAUUCUUUCCCUUGUUGAAUGGGUGUCUGGAGGAAUGUAAUUCCAGUCUCUUGCUUCAGCACAUCAUUAUUUACAAGGCACAGGAACAUGACCACACCAAGCAUGGAGAGAGCCACUAUCAAGCUGUAAUUUGGCAACCGGCACGUGUGUGAGUGCAAGGAGCAGAUCCAUCCUCUUCAGGCUGGAUGUAUGCACGAGAUGGGCUAAUACUUUUCUUUAUUUCUGUAGAGCAGCAGUGGGGAGCCUGUUUCAGCCCGAGGAUCACAUUGCCUUUUGAAAAACCUAUUUCAGGCAUCCUUCCAAAUUCGAACACCCUCCCUCUCUGCUUGACUUGGGGGGGGGGAUGCUCUAUUGCUCCUAACCCCUACUCCAUUGGAGGAGACACAACAGUAUUAUGGUGCCAUCUCGUGGCCAUAGCAAGUAGGGGCAUUUAACAGCAAUGCCGCUUGAGAGAGUCACAUUAAAACUGUCUUCCAUAACACUGGACGUGUCCGCCUGAAACUUUCGGCAGCUGCAUCACAAAGGACACAUUUCUGACUGAUGAAGAGAAACCAAAUCUGACAAAAGAGCGACAAGAUCUGCUGGGGAACAAUUGGUGAAACGUUCAUGACAAUGAAACAAGUUUAAUGUUUUUGCAAAGGUGAUGUCAAUAGCCUGGCGACCUUGUCAUCUGCCUGAUUAAUUGAUGUCCUGUUGCUUUAAUAUUUGUAUGCACAGAUUUUGAAAUGAAAAGAUGGAUGCAUAUUCCA